CAAUAAUUACAAUACAAUGACGUCAAAUAGAUACAAUUCACUAAAAUCUCUCCGGUUGCCAACUUACAAUUUCACUCAGGUCGCCAAGGUCCAUCUUUUUCCAGAGCAUGAACACCAAAGGUUCAGUUUCCUAAGGAACACUGCACACCAAUUCCAAAAUGGAACUCAAAACAAACAUUCAUAGUCUAGUGGUUCCAAAAACAUACAGCAU
RNAcentral lists this long non-coding RNA (211 nucleotides) under Carica papaya (papaya). RNAcentral's name for it is "long non-coding RNA (CPAP_LNC005595)". The record is from RNAcentral. Lineage: Eukaryota; Viridiplantae; Streptophyta; Magnoliopsida; Brassicales; Caricaceae.